This is a long non-coding RNA of Lagopus muta (rock ptarmigan), 3797 nucleotides long. RefSeq lists it as uncharacterized. The transcript has 3 exons. The record is from RefSeq and is a predicted model, not a curated record. Lineage: Eukaryota; Metazoa; Chordata; Aves; Galliformes; Phasianidae.
CCCAGGGCAGACAGAUAAAGCUUCAUUUCAUGAGCAGGAAUAGAAAAACUCUCUUCAGCCCCUGCUUGCUCUUUCCUGCCCUAGGUCAUUUUGCUUCAAAUGAGGGCAGGGGGAAUAAGGUUAAAAUGCAAAGGCUGGCCAGGAUGUCUGCCCUGGUUGGAAUAGCGUUUCUUGCAGCUCUAAGCUAGUAGUAUGUAGUCACCUCCAGGUCCCCCCCGCUGAGCUGCAAUAACACAAGAUGAGAGGCAACCUCAAGUUGUGCCAGGGGAGGUUCAGGCUGGAUAACAUAAAGAAUUUCUUCUCACGGAGAGUGGUGAGGCACUGGCAUGGGCUGCCCAGGGAGGUAGACUCUACUACUCUACUGUCCCUGGAGGUGUUCAAGAAGCGUGUGGAUGUGGCACUGAGAGAUGUGGUUAGUGGGAAUGGUGGAGGUGGGUUGGUGGUUGGACUAGGAGAUCUUAGAGGUGUUUUCCAACCUUAAUGAUUCUGUCUUUCUAUGAACACUAGGUGUCCCACUGCAGGUGCUACCAAGUGCUAUCUCUUUACCGGGCCUCCAGCCUGCUUGUGUCUGCAUACAAGCACUUGGACCGUGAUGCCCAGUCUUAUAGGGUGACCAGACACAGGCAGUGCUUCUAGGAGCUGCUGGCUCAGCCGUGAUCCCUGUGGUUGUGCAAGCCCUCAGACUUGGCUGGGACUUGCUGGGGGAAUCUGCCUGCUUAGGAGCACUGCAGCUUUCUUACCACAGCUUCAGGUAAGAAAAUAGGCGAGCUUCAACAGAGGAGGAAGAUCAAGGUAAGAAGCAGAGCAUUACUCUUGCCAUCCUGAGCACUGGUAUUUCUAAAUCACAUACUUUGUCAUGCCAUGAAACCUUAUCAGAAGCUGCACAUAACUAACCACAGAAUCUAGAUUCAUUGGCUUGAAUUUUAUUGUAAGAGAUACCAGGAGCAUGAAAGACACCCUGUUGCUAUCACCUAUAGAUAAAUUCCUUGAUGUUUUUCAUCAUGAAAUUCUGCUUCCUCUUGCUUAUGUAGCUUUGCCAUCUGUCUCGAUUUGACUGUUUCAGUGCUUGAUGUUUUCAGCCAGAGCAAGAUCCAGGAGACAAGUGAAAAUAUAAGCAACCCAUCCUUCAUUUCAGAGCAGAAGCUCUCAAAGUUUGCAAAGUUGCAAAGUUUGCAAAGGAAGACUUGACGAUACAGUGGGAAAGCUAAACCACCUGAACAGGCAAAUGCAGGCACCUGCUUUUACUGUUAUUUGAAAAAUCCUGGUUUUACAGCUAAUCUGUGAGGCUUUUUGUGCAUGGCUUGAUUUGUAGUUUCUUAAUGAUUGGGACUGGCAGCAUUGUUUAUAGCCCUGACAGACUAUUAACAAUGAAACAUUAUAUUUUUUUCCCCAUCUAGUCUCUGUCUCAAAGCAAACUAUCCUGGAAGCACUCAAUUUGGUGCCUUGGUCAUUUCAGUGAAUGAAAUUAAGGGAAAAUGAUAUAUCUGAACAUCCUCAAAAUUGCAGUCAUUUCUUUGGGAAGAUCUAGCACAGCACACUCUCAAACAGAAACUUGGAAUUCUGAAGGGCAGGGAGGUGCCUUAAGCCAGAUUCUAAUGUUUCUGAAAAUGUUUGUUAACAGAUAGAUGCUUCUUUAGUCUUUGCCACACACAGUCCCCUCAGCUUCCAUAUGCAAUUACUGUGCUUCAGCCUCUCCCUUCAACAGAUCGUGACCAGAUCACGGAUGGAGAAGAGACCCCAAGCCAGUGGAUUAGGGCUGAAUCUCAUUGUAGCCGUUUUUUCUUUGGCUGGGAGUGAAAGGAACCAUCAUCUUUGCACUUCUUCAUAGCUGAGAAUGCAGAACAGCUCUGUGCAAUGCAGUGUUGAGUUCUCCUCACUGGAUGUUCCCAGACUUCCACAUGCAGAUGAGCCAUGGACACCAAUCCAUGUUCUGUUGUUCCCUGUCAAGCCUCUGAGACAUGAGGAUGCCAGAAAUCUGCAGAAGUUUCCAAUGGCCCACCAAGCCCGUGGGUGCAGAACAGAUCUGAGUGUUUCCACUCCUCCAACUCCCCUUUCUGUCAAGCUCUAAAAUGACAAUCUGAGAACCUCUCCUCAAUCCAGAUCUCUGGCCAACACAACCAGCUGUUUUUGGCAAGGAAGAACAACGGGAGCAAAGUCAGCUGUCAGAGAGGAGCUGGAAGACAGAUUGCUCUGACUGCACAGGUGGUAUUUUCAGCUAUGCUGUGGCUGAUGAUUUGUUAGGAAGGCCGAAUAGCCAUCACUGUAACACCCUUACACAACUCACUCCUUCCUCUGCUUCAAGAAGCGAAGGCAAAAACUCCAAUGGAUUUCAAGAGAAGCAGGAUUGGGCCCUUAGGCUGUACAUAAGAGUCUGUGUUGGAAAAGAGAAUGUACAAUGUUGGAUGCUUCUUAUAAUACAAGAUUAGAUCAAAUCCUUUCAGUGCCCUGAAGCUUUAUACCUUAAUGCUGGGCUACCUGUGGCAGAUAGCAAGCGAAUGCCUGUCAGCAUGGAUCAUCCUCUCAGUGUUCACUAAAAAUGUACAAUUCUCAUUUUGCAGCGUUUGAGAUCUUUUAAAAAAUGGAGUCAGGUGGGAAUAGAAUGUAACAUCAAGACAAGUAGCUUCAAUUUUUACCUGAUCAUUGGCACAUUCCAAGUAUUUUCUUUAUAGUGAUGCCUGACAAGCAAUCAAUGGGCAUCCAGACAAUCAGUUAGUUUAAAGUAGUCUUCUCAUCACGGUGAAUGUAAAUUGUAGGUAGCUUGUCUGAGGGAAUGGUUUGCCAGGCAAAGAAACUGCUGUUUUCAACAAAGGCAAAAAAUACACUGAUGUUUAUAACAUGAAAUAAUUCCUCCUGUUGCAUCUGUAAUAUGCUCAUGAAGGAAGUGUUCUGGCUGGAGUGUGACCUUGCCCUGUGUGUGCUCAGUGGCCGUUGUGUCUCAUGCUGUCCUGCCUGGAUGCCCUCACCAGCCCUUUUUCUUCCAGCAGAGGGUAAAUCUCACAGGUGUUGGGCUGAGGUUAUGGGGGUGAAGCUUGAGGACCUCUGGCUUUCUGCUCUAUGUUUUUUGUAGAGUUGCACGGAAAUGAAAUGGGACAGAACAUUUCCACUCCAUACUUUUGUAACUGGAAUUUUGAGCCAUGCUGGUUUUUUUUUUUUUCUUUCUUUUUUUCUUUCUUUCUUUCUUUUUUUUUUUUUUUAAAUUAAAAGCUCCUUUUUACAUAAGUAAUACACAAUAAGUUGGUGAACACCAAUUAAAAUCAUAUUUCACAAAAUUAGACUUUCAGUUGCCUGUUCUAUUGAAUAUCAGUCAGUAAUAAGGUUUCCUCAUUUCCCUGAGCAUGUAAUUUUUCCCAUGAAUUCUUGAGUCACUGCUUUGAUCACUUCUUGAUUGCUUAAAGGCUGUGAGUCAGUAAUAUUUCCCAGUUUUGUUGUCACAUCAAAGAUCUUUGAGGGGCUUUCUCCAACAGAAGGCAGCCAAGGUUCCUGGUUGACAUAGUUCAUCACCAUGCUGAAGCUAUGCUGCACAAAUGAAAAUAGGGAAUAAUGCAUCACCUUUAGCCAUUCGUGUAAUCAUUUGAAUAAUAUGUAUCACCUUCUUAAAUGGGCCAGCUGCUACACAGCACUUUUUUUUUGCUUGAAUUUUUACACUUGAAAAUGUGGAGGGCAAACAUUAAACAGGAAAGGUGAUUUUAUCCAGACAUGCUGAUGAAUGAAAGCAAAGGCAGUGGCUUUCUUCUGUGUGCAGAUUUUUGCAGUUGCUUUAUUCAGGCAUUACGAGAUGAACAAUUCUGGCACUCAAA